ACUGCACAAAUAAGGCAUUUUUCAGUAGAAAUUGUCCCACAUAACGCUUUUAUCAAUUUGCUAUUGAAAGAACAGAUUUUUUUUUUUUAAUGUGCAGUGUUGAAUCAUUUCUUCAUUAGUCUAGAGUUAGGACUAGGGCUUCAGUUUCACUUCUUAAAUAUCAUAUAUUUGAUAUGCCCAGACUGCAUAUGAUUUUAAGCAGAGUACAACUAGUAUUAUAAAGUUAAUAUGAAGAUAUUAUUAAAAAGAAUUUUUUCCCCAGAAAUUUGGUAUCUUUCAAAUUAUACCUUGACCUUGAAACAUUUGAAUAUCCAGACAGUUUAUUUCUUAAUGGUGUAAAAAUCUCAUUUUCAAUAACUUACUGGUGCUGAAAUUGUUCACUAGCUGUGGUCUGACCUUGUUAAUUUACAAAUACAGAUUGCAUAGGACCUAUUAGAGCAGCAUUUAUAGAGUUUGAUGGAAAAUAGAUUAGGCAGAACUUCAUCUAAAAUAUUCUUAGUAAACAAUGUUGACAUGUUUUCCAUACCUCAUCAGUUUCAUUCAACAAAUAAAAUUUUAAAAUUUUUAACAAAGUUGUUAGGAUUUACACAUUUAUAUUUAAACAUUGAUAUAUAGAGAAUUGAUUGACUGCUCAUAAGUUUAAAUCGGUAAAGUUAGAGACAUCUAUUCCUAAGAUCUCAUCAUUGAAAUUUAUAUGCCACCUUGUCUUUCAUAAGAGCUGAAAACUGUUGACUAAAAUGAAAAUCAACUAUUCAUGUUUUGAAGAUAGUUAUUAAUACUGUUAUUUGUUACAGUUUUGGGCACAGUAUAUUAAAACAUAACUUGUAUUGUUCCAAUAUGUAACGUGGAGGGCCAGGUCAUAAAUAAUGACAUUAUAAUGGGCUUUUGCACUGUUAUUAUUUUUCCUUUGGAAUGUGAAGGUCUGAAUGAGGGUUUUGAUUUUGAAUGUUUCAAUGUUUUUGAGAAGCCUUGCUUACAUUUUUAUGGUGUAGUCAUUGGAAAUGGAAAAAUGGCAUUAUAUAUAUAUAUAUUAUAUAUAUAUAAAUAUAUAUUAUACAUACUACUCUCCUUUAUUUCAGUUACCAUCCCCAUAGAAUUUGACAAGAAUUGCUAUGACUGA
This 1120-nucleotide long non-coding RNA is filed under the name Sus scrofa (pig). RNAcentral describes it as "lncRNA (ENSSSCG00005032639.1)". The record is from RNAcentral. Lineage: Eukaryota; Metazoa; Chordata; Mammalia; Artiodactyla; Suidae.